Molecule: long non-coding RNA, 1197 nt
Organism: Quercus robur (English oak)
Lineage: Eukaryota; Viridiplantae; Streptophyta; Magnoliopsida; Fagales; Fagaceae
Exons: 2
Source: RefSeq, a predicted model, not a curated record
CAAAUCCGUUUCAUAUUCCUACCCAUAAAAAACCUCUUAAAAAAAAUCAAACACUUUACUUUGUCUCUCUCCCUAUACGCUUCUCUUUCCCUUUUUCUCUCUCUCUCUCUCACUCUCUUCUGAAAUGUAUUUCCCAUGCACAAUUUUGAAACAAUUUCUCUCUAUUUGGUUGAAAACUCAGAAAAAUGGCUUCACUGCGUCAAAAUUUCCCGGUUCAAUUUCUCCAAAUGACUCCACCAGCUUUGAAUCUUUCUACUCAAGAUACCCCAAACGCAUCAGAUCAAAUCUCCUUGGGAAACACCAUUACAGUGGGCAGUUAUAGAUUUUAUACAGUUACAAAUAAAUUUCACUUUAUAUUUCUUUAGACAAAAAUCAAAAACAAAAAAUUCAACUUCCUUCUGAUUCAAGUUAUUGUCAAGUUUUUGAGUCAUAUUUCAGUCGAGGAAAUUUUAAUUCUCUCUCUGUACUCUAUUCCUGCAACAACUUUGAAACAUUUUCUCCACACAAGUUUUUCCGUGUUUGCAGAAAUACUCAGAAACAAGACUUCUUUUCUACUUUUUAAAAAUAAUUAAAACAACUAAAUCAAUAUACAUAGCAGCGAAAAUUAUCUGAAAAAAGAAAAAGAAAAUUGAGUGAGAGAGAGAGUCUGUAAGAUUUUGAAAGGUAAGUUUUUACAAAUUUUCCCCUUUAUAUUUCUGGUUCUUAAUUUAUUCUUCUGUUAAUAAAUGGUUGAUUUUGUAUUUACAUAAUUUAGAAUUUGCUAUUAAUUGGCUAAUGAAAUUUGAGGGCAUUUGUCGACGAGGAGGAGGAUAAUCUGUGCUAUAUGUUCAAAGUCCAGCAAGAUUUGGUUUUUGAGAUUAGUUUAAGAUUAGUUUUACAAAAGAAAUACAGUUGACAGAAAUCUGGAUAAAUAAUUAAUGAAAUAGAAAAUAUAUAUAUAUAUAUAUAUAGAUUUUGUUUUUGUUGCAUGUAAUACUAUAGAUGUUGAACAAUUAUUGUAUUACAAUGUUAGGGGUUAAUUCAUUGAAUUUUGUGUCAUUGUUAUUCUGUUUUAGUACAAUGCAGCCAUACAGAUGCGUUGAGAGUUGAAAAGAGUUUUAAUUUCAGUUGUUUCAAGCAUUCGAAUUUAGUUACUUGCUUGGUAAAUCUUUGUUUUAAGGCAUUGAAAUAAAAAAAGAUAUGUUAUCUAUUUGUUUA